Molecule: long non-coding RNA, 430 nt
Organism: Gordionus sp. m RMFG-2023
Lineage: Eukaryota; Metazoa; Nematomorpha; Gordioida; Chordodea; Parachordodidae
Exons: 3
Source: RefSeq, a predicted model, not a curated record
GUCUUUAGCAAAUUUUCUUAAUUAAAUUUAUAUACAAAGAAAUAAAAUUUUAAUUAUAUUUAUCAUUUUAUUCUAAUAUAAUUAUAAUAAUAUCUAUCAUUUUAUCACAGUUGAUGCUUCGACUUUAACCACAGCCACCACCAUAACCGGAGGACCUAAUCAUUCUGAUGCAAAAUUACACCCUAAAGAGUUAGAGAAAGACAUGCUUUCGAAUGCAUUAUAAAACAGCUCAAUUUUCAGGGAGAGAACUGGGUCCUGAUGGUACACCUCCAAGACCUUUUCGGACAGAGUUUUCCCAUUCUAUAUAAUGGAACACUUGUUUUUAUACUUUAAAACAUAGGAAAUAAAUUAAAAAUGUUCUUGUCCUUUAGAACAUUUAAUUUUAUUUAAUUAAGAACCUUUAUAUUACCAGUUUUCUUGAUUUAUUUUU